RNAcentral lists this unclassified non-coding RNA (250 nucleotides) under plant metagenome. RNAcentral's name for it is "partial contains small subunit ribosomal RNA, internal transcribed spacer 1, and 5.8S ribosomal RNA". The record is from RNAcentral.
GUUGGUGAACCAGCGGAAGGAUCAUUACAGAGAUCAUGCCCUCGCGGGUAGACCUCCCACCCUGUGUAAAUUACUCUUGUUGCUUCGGCAGGCCGCCUUCGGGCCCUCGGCUUCGGCUGGGGAGCGCUUGCCAGAGGACCGUAACUCUCGUGUUUAUUUGUCGUCUGAGUACUAUAUAAUAAGUUAAAACUUUCAACAACGGAUCUCUUGGUUCUGGCAUCGAUGAAGAACGCAGCAUCUGACUGACUAC